GCGCCAGUAGUGUCUGGGACAUGCCGCCUUUGAAUACAGGGUGUCCAGCCAUUUAGGCGGAGCUGGGGUUCGACUCCCCGCUGGUGCA
This is a non-coding RNA of Mycena galericulata, 88 nucleotides long. NCBI's taxonomy places the organism in Eukaryota, Fungi, Basidiomycota, Agaricomycetes, Agaricales, Mycenaceae. The record is from the annotation of a GenBank genome assembly.